This 497-nucleotide ribosomal RNA is filed under the name uncultured bacterium. RNAcentral describes it as "partial 16S ribosomal RNA". It matches the Rfam family "Bacterial small subunit ribosomal RNA", at positions 28 to 507 of the family's 1533-position model. The record is from RNAcentral.
GAUGAACGCUGGCGGCGUGCCUAAUACAUGCAAGUCGAGCGAACAGAUGAGGAGCUUGCUCCUCUGACGUUAGCGGCGGACGGGUGAGUAACACGUGGAUAACCUACCUAUAAGACUGGGAUAACUUCGGGAAACCGGAGCUAAUACCGGAUAAUAUAUUGAACCGCAUGGUUCAAUAGUGAAAGACGGUUUUGCUGUCACUUAUAGAUGGAUCCGCGCCGCAUUAGCUAGUUGGUAAGGUAACGGCUUACCAAGGCAACGAUGCGUAGCCGACCUGAGAGGGCGAUCGGCCACACUGGAACUGAGACACGGUCCAGACUCCUACGGGAGGCAGCAGUAGGGAAUCUUCCGCAAUGGGCGAAAGCCUGACGGAGCAACGCCGCGUGAGUGAUGAAGGUCUUCGGAUCGUAAAACUCUGUUAUUAGGGAAGAACAAAUGUGUAAGUAACUUUGCACGUCUUGACGGUACCUAAUCAGAAAGCCACGGCUAACUACGUG